Molecule: small nucleolar RNA, 77 nt
Organism: Rattus norvegicus (Norway rat)
Lineage: Eukaryota; Metazoa; Chordata; Mammalia; Rodentia; Muridae
Product: small nucleolar RNA SNORD115
Source: Ensembl
GGGUUAAUGAUGACACCAAUGACAUAAAGAUUAGUAAUGUCAUAACAAUCAUGGUCAAAAGCAUUACAGUGUAGCCC